UACGUAGGCGGUUUACUAAGUCAGAUGUGAAAGCCCCGGGCUUAACCUGGGAACUGCAUUCGAUACUGGUAGGCUAGAGUAUGGUAGAGGGGGGUAGAAUUCAUAGUGUAGCGGUGAAAUGCGUAGAUAUUAUGAGGAAUACCAGUGGCGAAGGCGGCCCCCUGGACCAAUACUGACGCUGAGGUACGAAAGCGUGGGUAGCGAACAGGAUUAGAUACCCUGGUAGUCC
This 229-nucleotide ribosomal RNA is filed under the name uncultured bacterium. RNAcentral's name for it is "partial 16S ribosomal RNA". It matches the Rfam family "Bacterial small subunit ribosomal RNA", at positions 568 to 796 of the family's 1533-position model. The record is from RNAcentral.